Molecule: long non-coding RNA, 3321 nt
Filed under: Macaca fascicularis (crab-eating macaque)
Lineage: Eukaryota; Metazoa; Chordata; Mammalia; Primates; Cercopithecidae
Description: lncRNA (ENSMFAG00000052452.1)
Rfam family: Nuclear enriched abundant transcript 1 conserved region 3 (bases 2126-2284)
Source: RNAcentral
ACCGCCCGCCCAGGCAACCUGGAACCAGGGUCGUGCCCUACGGCAGAAUGUGGGGGGCCUUGGGUCUGGCGCUGCGUGCUCACCCCCUCUCAGAGUGGGAGUCCUGGCUCCUGACUGCCCUGACCUUCUUCCUACCACUGGGCCCAUGAUGGGGGUCCCCAACUUUCAAGAACACAGGGGAUGCGCCUUCUCAGGAAACACGUCCCCUCGCCAGGCCCCUGGGAACAGUCACAACCACGACGCCUGUCCCCGAAGCGCCCGCGCAGCUCCACGGGAUUCCAUGUUGUCACCCACUGGAUCCUGGACGCCAUCAGCCCGCAGCAGGGUUUCCAGACCACAGAAACCGCCUGUUGGGGUGCGGGGCGUUACACGUCCCCUCGCAGCGCCCCGCUGGCUUCUGGGCCGCCCCGCCCCCACUCCCGCGCCCGGACGCUGACGUCACUGGCCGAGCCAGACUCGGAGCCGCCGCCCGAGAGUCACGCGCGCCUCCCGGCGGGACGCGCCCUCUGCAGAGAUCCCUCCGCCGCCGCCUGGAAUUUUCCAGACGUCCUGCCGGCCCUUCUUUCGGGCCUCGUCGGGGCGUGGUGACCUGAGGCGACCCCGGCGGCUCCCGUUGCCCACUUAGGAGGGCGCCCCCGCCCGCCUCUUCCUGAGCCCCUCUCUCUGGGAAGCGCGCCCCGCCCGACCCAACACCCAGGAAGAAAGUCUUCUUCGUCAUGGCAUCCGCCUUCCAAAUGUCACCUUGAGCGCUGUUCGCGAUCCCAAAAAGCACUGCUAAGGAGAAGCGGGGAUAAACUGGGGUCCUUGCGUCGGGGGCGCCUGGGAGACCAUGCACCGCCCGGGUCGUCUCCCCGGGCCGGGGAGGGACUUUUUUUCCGGUGGCCGUGGAGGAAUCGUCCCGUUGAACAGUGACCCCGGUGACGCGGCCGAGGGCUAUAAAAGCAAAAGUUGUGGCCGGUCCAGCAGAAGUUAGCGAUAGGGAGGGAUGCGCACUUGGGUGUAGUUGUGGGGGAGGAAGUGACCAGUUCAGGGUCUCGGGACAGACCGGGAGAGAUGGUUGAGUUAGAUGAGACUGGGGGCCCUGGGAGUACGAGAAGGAAGCUUGACAAGGAGACUAGGUCUGAAGAAACCACAGUGGGGCAGGCUGCGUGGUGGAAAAUGCCCGCAGGAGCCCCCAGAGAGGACAGCCAUGCUCCAGGCCAGGCUGUCCCUACUGUCUGCUGGAGAGGGAACUUGACCUCUGGGAGGGAGCCGCUCUUACAUGGCUGAGCGAGCCCCCGUGCGCUGGUCUGUGUGGAAGGAGGAAGGCAGGGAGAGGUAGAAGGGGUGGAGGAGCCAGGAGGAAUGAAUGGGCUGCUGCGGCCCUGGAAACGAUCAGGAAGGCAGGCAGUGGGUGCAGGGCUGCAGAAGGGCCGGGAGGGCCGAGCUUCAACUUGUCCAUGCCAGCGGCCCCUUUUUUUCCAGACCAAGGGCUGUGAACCCGCCUGGGGAUGAGGCCUGGUCUUGUGGAACUGAACUUAGCUCGGCGGGGCUGACCGCUCUGGCCCAGGGUGGUAUGUAAUUUUCGCUCGGCCUGGGACAGGGCCCAGGCCGGGCCCAGCCUGGUGGAGCGUCCAGGUCUGGGUGCGAAGCCAGGCCCCUGGGCGGAGGUGAGGGGUGGUCUGAGGCGUGAUGUGGAGUUAAGGCGCCAUCCUCACUGGUGACUGGUGCAGCACCUAGCAUGUUUGACAGGCGGGGACUGCGAGGCACGCUGCUCGGGUGUUGGGACAACAUUGACCAACGCUUUAUUUUCCAGGUGGCAGUGCUCCUUUUGGACUUUUCUCUAGGUUUGGCGCUAAACUCUUCUGUGAGCUCACUCCACCCCUCCUCCUCCCUUUAACUUACCCAUUCACUUAAAACAUUACCUGGUUGUCUGGUAAGCCCGGGACAGUAGCCGAGUGGCUUUUGGAGUCGGUAUUGUUGGUAAUGGUGGAGAAAGAGAGGCCUUCCCGCUGAGGCUGGGGUGGGGCGGAUCGGUGUUGCUUGCCUGCAGAGAGGGUGGGGAGUGAAUGUGCACCCCUGGGUGGGCCUGCAGCCAUCCAGCUGAAAGUCAUAAAAAUGCCUUAUAGACCGUGGUUUGUUACUAUAGUGUUCCUCAUGGCGAGCAGAUGGAACCGGGAGACAUGGAGCCCCUGGCCAGUGUGAGUCCUAGCAGUGCAGGAGGGGAGACCAUGGAGGAGAGAGCCCGCCUCAAUUGAUGCCUGCAGAUUGAAUUUCCAGAGGCUUAGGAGGAGGAAGUUCUCCAAUGUCGUGUUUCCAGGCCUUGCUGGGGAAGCCCUGUAUUCAGGAGGCAACCAUUUAAAGUUUUCAGAUGAGCUUAUGGGGGGCAAUCUUAAAAUAUCCACAGCAGAUGCAUCCGGCUCGAGGUGCCAUCAGCUUUGAAUAAAUGCUUGUUCCAGAGCCCAUGAAUGCCAGCAGGCACCCCUCCUUUCCUGGGGUAAAGGUUUUCAGAUGCUGCGUCUUCUAAAUUGAGCCUCCGGUCAUACUAGUUCUGUGCUUGGAACCUUGCUUCAAGAAGAUCCCUAAGCUGUAGAACAUUUUAACGUUGAUGCCACAACGCAGAUUGAUGCCUUAUAGAUGGAGCUUGCAGAUGGAGCCCCGUGACCUCUCACCUACCCCCCCUGUUUGCCUGCCUGCCUAUGCGUUGCUCGGAGAAGUUCUUAGCCUGAUGAAAUAACUUGGGGUGUUGGAAAGCUGUUUAAUUUUAAAUGCCUUAGACGGGGGAUGUAUUAGAGGAAGCAGAUUGUCAAGAGUGUCAUUGUGUUAUGCUAAACUCUGGGAGGGUACAAAUUGGUCAUUCCCAAAUCUGUGUGUGAAAAAUGGCAGGUCUAGUUUGGGCAUUGUGAUUGCAUUGCAGAUUACUAAGAGAAGGUAAUGGUGGGUAUACCGGUAGUGCUCUUUUGUUCUUGCUUCGUUUUUUUGCACCUGAACUUCGUUAGAUUUCAUAAUGCUUUUUUGGCAUUUUAAUAAGAGGACCCUGAGGUGGGAGUUGUGGGAGACCGGGAGAAGGGGACAGCUUGGCACUGGUCACGUGGGAUUUGCAGUGUGGGGGAUGGGGGUGUGCAGCUUGGCACUGGUACUGGGAGGGAUGAAGGUGAGGAAGGGGAGAGGGUUGGUUAGGUAUAUAGUGUGGGUGGUAGGAAAUGCAGGUUGAAGGGAAAUUCUCUGGGGCUUUGGGGAGUUUUGUGCGGUGGGUGAGCCAAGAAAAUACUAAUUAAUAAUAGUAAGUGUUGGUUAAGUUGUUGCUUGGAAGUGAAAAGUUGCUUAGAAAGGUUAGAACUU